This 819-nucleotide ribosomal RNA is filed under the name uncultured eukaryote. RNAcentral describes it as "SSU rRNA". It matches the Rfam family "Eukaryotic small subunit ribosomal RNA", at positions 629 to 1426 of the family's 1831-position model. The record is from RNAcentral.
CGGUGUUUAACUGGCGUGAUGUGGGACGUCCUACCGGUGGGCUUAGCCUCGCGAGGGGCGGCCCAACUAAUAUCCCGUCGCGGUGCUCUUUACUGAGUGUCGAGUCGGGCCGGUACGUUUACUUUGAACAAAUUAGAGUGCUUAAAGCAGGCUAUCCUCGCCUGAAUACUGCGUGCAUGGAAUAAUGGAAUAGGACCUCGGUUCUAUUUUGUUGGUUUUCGGAACCCCCGAGGUAAUGAUUAAUAGGGACAGAUGGGGGCAUUCGUAUUGCGACGUUAGAGGUGAAAUUCUUGGAUCGUCGCAAGACGGACAGAAGCGAAAGCAUUUGCCAAAAAUGUUUUCAUUAAUCAAGAACGAAAGUUAGAGGUUCGAAGGCGAUCAGAUACCGCCCUAGUUCUAACCAUAAACGAUGCCAGCUAGCGAUCCGCCGAAGUUCCUCCGAUGACUCGGCGGGCAGCUUCCGGGAAACCAAAGCUUUUGGGUUCCGGGGGAAGUAUGGUUGCAAAGCUGAAACUUAAAGGAAUUGACGGAAGGGCACCACCAGGAGUGGAGCCUGCGGCUUAAUUUGACUCAACACGGGAAACCUCACCAGGCCCAGACACCGGAAGGAUUGACAGAUUGAUAGCUCUUUCUUGAUUCGGUGGGUGGUGGUGCAUGGCCGUUUUUAGUUGGUGGAGAGAUUUGUCUGGUUAAUUCUGAUAACGAACGAGACUCUAGCCUGCUAAAUAGGCGUACCUUAUGGUAUCGCGAAGGCCCCCGGCUUCGGCCGGUGGGUUUUUACUACCAACGUACAAACAAAUCUUUUUGAGGGACAGGCGG